Molecule: ribosomal RNA, 848 nt
Filed under: Lepraria lobificans
Lineage: Eukaryota; Fungi; Ascomycota; Lecanoromycetes; Lecanorales; Stereocaulaceae
Description: mitochondrial SSU rRNA
Rfam family: Bacterial small subunit ribosomal RNA
Source: RNAcentral
AUGUAUAGCAAUAGCUUAUUGCACCAACAAAUAGUUGAUGUAAUAUUGACUCUGUCAAAUAAAAUUCUAGGUAGAAUUAUGAUAAUGACAUUGUCUGCCUAUAUGUCUUGACCAAAUUACGUGCCAGCAGUCGCGGUAAUACGUAGAAGACUAGUGUUAUUCAUCUUUAAUAGGUUUAAAGGGUACCUAGACGGUAGAUCAAGCCUUCGCAGGGACUAAUUUACUAGAGUUACUUACGAGGGGGUAUUAAAGUACUGCAGGUGUAGGGAUGAAAUUCUGUCAUACCUCUUUUCGAAAGAAAAAUUAUGGCACAGGUAUAGGUGAAAGCAUCCCCUUAUGUGAUAACUGACGUUGAAGGACGAAGGCUUUGUGUCGCGAACAGGAUUAGAUACCCCAGUAGUCAAAGCAGAAAAUGAUGAAUGUCAUAGAUUAGAUAAAUAGUUUAUUCUAUAAAUGAAAAUGUAAGCAUUCCACCUCAAGAGUAAUUUGGCAACAUUGGAACUGAAAUCAUUAGACCGUUUCUGAAACCAGUAGUGAAGUAUGUUGUUUAAUUUGAUGAUCCGCAAAAAACCUUACCACAAUUUGAAUAUUUAUAUCUAUCUUCUUUUUUCGUAAAAAAAUAAAAAGGUAAUAUAUUUACAAGCGUUGCACGGCUGUCUUCAGUUAAUGUCGCGAGACUUUGGUUAGUUCCAUUAAAUUAACGUAAACCCUUACUUUAUUUUUAUAUAAAGUAGUUCCCCGCUAUAUUGGAUAUGAUAACAGGGACUAAGACAAGUCAUCAUGGCCUGAAUAUUGUGGGCUAUAGACGUGCCACAUAAACCUUACAAAAGGGUGUGAAAUUGUGAAAU